Long non-coding RNA from Magnolia sinica, 538 nucleotides. RefSeq lists it as uncharacterized. Lineage: Eukaryota; Viridiplantae; Streptophyta; Magnoliopsida; Magnoliales; Magnoliaceae. The transcript is spliced from 2 exons. The record is from RefSeq and is a predicted model, not a curated record.
AUACUAAGCAAAUGGUAGUAUAAUCUGAGAUCGUCGAUACAAAUGUACAAAUGCAUGCUUCUGCUCUAUUACACUUUUUCUGCUGUGUACUCAUGCACUGUUGUCAUUUCUGGAGAAGGCCAGCUGAUAACUUCUUUUUCCUUGUAUAAAGGUUCUUGACAGGAUUCUUUUUUGCUGCUGUUCCGUGGUAUGUUGGUGCUUUCAUUCUACUCUUUGUUGUGGUAGACUACAGGGAGAAAGCAGGAUUGAUUGCAUGUACAAUUGGGGCUGUUCUGGUAGCAAUUAGUUUUAUUCUUGGGGUAUCUAAUGGAAAUUUGGAGUGGUGAACUCUUCAAGUUAUAUGUGUUCAGCCAGCUAUUGGGUCUGUAUUUGCGCAUUGAUUCUGGGUCUAUUUUGCUGUUAUUGUCAUGUUGUGGCUGCAGCACUGAUGAAUGGAAGUUUCAUAUCCUUGUGAUGCACUUGAAUAAGAUAUAUAUUGUCACCUAUAUUUUGAUAUUUUAUGUGUAGAUAAAUGAGUAAAUAAAUGGCCUUUGUCUUA